ACAAGGUAGCCGUAGGGGAACCUGCGGCUGGAUCACCUCCUUUCUAAGGAAGCUGUGGAAUUGGUAAGACGAUCGGCUGGAUCUUCGGAUCUCCCCGAUAUGAACCUUCCCGUGCUUUUUAGAACAUAGAUGGCACCAGUCAGGUGACUAUCGAAACGUAAUACGCCGCGACGACUUCGGUCACGACGGUAUGGCGAGCUUUCGCCGUCCACGUUUCUCUUUCUUCAAAAGGAUAUCGAACCAUGGGUUUGCGCUCGCGCGCUGUUCGCACCUUCGGUGCUGCGUGUCCCGCGAGGGCGCCGGACGACCGGCGACGGCCUCUGGCCUGUAUGGGCGACCCUUUCCGAGGUUUUGCUUAGGAUUGGCGUCGACGCAUAGAGAUGGGCCCGUAGCUCAGUUGGUUAGAGCACACGCUUGAUAAGCGUGGGGUCGGAAGUUCAAGUCUUCCCGGGCCCACCAUUUGCACCAGCAAAUGAGAUUUGCUGUAACGAAUUGUGGUUUGUUUGGGUUUACCUGAUCCUGGCGGUUUGCUGUCAGGUGUUUGCGAUGGUUGGGGCUGUAGCUCAGCUGGGAGAGCACCUGCUUUGCAAGCAGGGGGUCAGCGGUUCGAUCCCGCUCAGCUCCACCAAUUCGCUUGGUGUCGAGACUGAGAGAGAUAUCCUUUGAAGAAAUAAAAGUUUUGCAUCGGCUUAUGGCUGGUGCGUGUUCUGCAUACAUUGUGAAGAGAAGAUUGAUCUGGAGGCUUCCAGGUGUCGGGUUCUGCCCUUUUGGGCUUAACUUGGCGUCCGAGCCCAGUUCUGAUGAUCCCAUGGAUGGCCUAGCCGGCCGGAUAUGGGUGAAGGACUGGAG
This 849-nucleotide transfer RNA is filed under the name Rhizobium leguminosarum. RNAcentral describes it as "partial contains 16S ribosomal RNA, 16S-23S ribosomal RNA intergenic spacer, and 23S ribosomal RNA". The stretch from base 383 to 456 matches the Rfam family "tRNA". The record is from RNAcentral. Lineage: Bacteria; Pseudomonadati; Pseudomonadota; Alphaproteobacteria; Hyphomicrobiales; Rhizobiaceae.